ACGUGCCACGCGUCCACUCCGGUUCUCCGUACCGUCCGCACCCACCUGGCGACUGCUCGAUACGUGUUGUCAGCC
RNAcentral lists this small RNA (75 nucleotides) under Xanthomonas phaseoli pv. phaseoli. RNAcentral's name for it is "sX9 sRNA". It matches the Rfam family "Xanthomonas sRNA sX9". RNAcentral also lists the same sequence under 1 other name. The record is from RNAcentral. Lineage: Bacteria; Pseudomonadati; Pseudomonadota; Gammaproteobacteria; Lysobacterales; Lysobacteraceae.